ACAAUGAAGAGUUUGAUCCUGUCUCAGGAUGAACGCUAGCUACAGGCUUAACACAUGCAAGUCGAGGGGCAGCAUGAGAUCAGCUUGCUGAUUUUGAUGGCGACCGGCGCACGGGUGAGUA
Molecule: ribosomal RNA, 121 nt
Filed under: Bacteroides sp.
Lineage: Bacteria; Pseudomonadati; Bacteroidota; Bacteroidia; Bacteroidales; Bacteroidaceae
Description: partial 16S ribosomal RNA
Rfam family: Bacterial small subunit ribosomal RNA
Source: RNAcentral